GCGACGAGGCCAAUAUGGCUUCCUGCACCUGGUGACGCUUGGCGAAACUGAGGUCUCAUGGAGAAGCCCCCGAGUAUUGAGACGGAGUCUCGCUCUGUCGCCCAGGCUGGAGUGCAGUGGCACGAUCUAGGCUCACUGCAACCUCCGUCUCCCGGGUUCAAGCAAUUCUGUCUCCACCUCCCAUGUUCCUGGGAUUACAGGAGACCCCAUCUUCAGAACCAAUGGAAGAAGAGGAAGAUGAUGACUUGGAGCUGUUUGGUGGCUAUGAUAGUUUCCGGAGUUAUAACAGCAGUGUGGGCAGUGAGAGCAGCUCCUAUCUGGAGGAGUCAAGUGAAGCAGAAAAUGAGGAUCGGGAAGCAGGGGAACUGCCGACCUCCCCGCUGCAUUUGCUCAGCCCCGGGACUCCUCGCUCCUUGGAUGGCAGUGGUUCUGAGCCAGCUGUCUGUGAGAUGUGUGGUAUCGUGGGUACAAGGGAAGCCUUCUUCUCCAAGACCAAGAGGUUCUGCAGCGUCUCCUGCUCCAGGAGCUACUCCUCCAAUUCCAAGAAAGCCAGUAUCUUGGCUAGAUUACAGGGAAAACCACCGACCAAAAAAGCCAAAGUCCUGCACAAAGCUGCCUGGUCUGCCAAAAUUGGAGCCUUCCUCCACUCCCAAGGGACAGGACAGCUGGCAGAUGGGACACCAACAGGACAAGACGCUCUGGUCUUGGGCUUCGACUGGGGGAAGUUCCUGAAGGAUCACAGUUACA
This 747-nucleotide small RNA is filed under the name Pongo abelii (Sumatran orangutan). Its description in RNAcentral is "processed transcript". Lineage: Eukaryota; Metazoa; Chordata; Mammalia; Primates; Hominidae. The record is from RNAcentral.